UUCCUUAAUAACAAGGAAUGAUGAGAUUUCAAAUCUUCUACUUGAUUUGAGAAAGCUAUGAACAGACUAGAGGUAGGAUAUAGGAUAAAAAAAAGUUAAAAUUACAUUCUAGGAAAGGCUCCUUCCUUUCCGUCUGGCGGCAGCCAUCAGGUAAGCCAAGAUGGGUGCAUACAAGUAUUUCCAGGAGCUGUGGAGGAAGCAGCAGUCUGAUGUCAUGCGCUUUCUUCUGAGAGUCCGCUGCUGGCAAUACCGGCAGCUCUCUGAGCUCCACAGGGCUCCCUGCCCCACCCGACCGGAUAAAGCGCGCAGACUGGGAUACAAGUCCAAGCAAGGUUAUGUCAUAUAUAGGAUUCAUGUGCGCUGUAGUGGCUGCAAACGCCCAGUUCCUAAGGGUGCAAGCUAUGGCAAGCCUGUGCAUCAUGGUGUUAACCAGCUAAAAUUUGCUCGAAGCCUUCAGUCUGUUGCAGAGGAGGGAGGUGGACGCCACUGUGGGGCUCUAAGAGUCCUGAAUUCUUACUGGGUAGGUGAAGAUUCCACGUACAAAUUUUUUGAGGUUUCUCCUCAUUGAUCCAUUCCAUAAAGCUAUCAGAAGAAAUCCUGACACCCAGUGGAUCACCAAACUGGUGCACAAGCACAGGGAGAUGCGUGGGCUGACAUCUGCAGGCCUCAAGAGCCGUGGCCUUGGAAAGGGCCAUAAGUUCCACCACACUAUUGGUGGUUCUCGCAUGCAGCUUGGAGAAGGCGCAAUACUCUCCAGCUCUACCGUUACCACUAAUAUAAAUAAUGUUUAUAAAAUUCAUACCUAGUAAACAAUUUAGGAUGGUCACGUCUGCAUAAAGGUGUUAUUUGUCUGUUAAACUAGUCUGCAGAUUGUUUGAUGAAUGCUUUGUCAAAUAUGAAGUUAAAAGUGCAAUAAUGUUUGAAGACUAUAAGUGAUGGUGUAUCUUGUUUCUAAUAAGAUAAGCUUUUUUGUCUUUGCUUUAUCUUACUAGGGAGUUAUAUGUCAGUGUUUAAAACAUGCUAUGUGGUAUGAUAUGUGUAAAAUAAAUUCUUUAAAAGAGGAAAAAAA
Non-coding RNA from Microcebus murinus (gray mouse lemur), 1069 nucleotides. Lineage: Eukaryota; Metazoa; Chordata; Mammalia; Primates; Cheirogaleidae. The record is from RefSeq and is a predicted model, not a curated record.